AAAAGCCUGGAGUGUACGUCGGCUGCUUUGUUUUCUCCUACAUUUUCAUAACUGGAGUCCGGAGUCGAUUUGUGGAUGCCAUGCCCCCGUUUUUAACGCCAGGGGACGGCAGAAGUAGAGCGCAGGGCACCGACCUGCCGAGACGGUGGGUGGAAAAGUGGCAGCAGCGGCAUUUCGGGUUUUUA
RNAcentral lists this non-coding RNA (185 nucleotides) under Clostridia bacterium. RNAcentral describes it as "6S RNA". It matches the Rfam family "6S / SsrS RNA". Rfam says of the family: E. coli 6S RNA was the first non coding RNA to be sequenced, but its function was unknown until recently. The record is from RNAcentral. Lineage: Bacteria; Bacillati; Bacillota; Clostridia.